This is a long non-coding RNA of Schistocerca serialis cubense, 439 nucleotides long. RefSeq lists it as uncharacterized. The record is from RefSeq and is a predicted model, not a curated record. The transcript is spliced from 3 exons. Lineage: Eukaryota; Metazoa; Arthropoda; Insecta; Orthoptera; Acrididae.
GUGGUGGUAGCAGGGCGCACGGCGCAAGUCUUGGAGCAGGGACGGUCACAAGGGAGCCGAAGGACAGGGAGGUGGGUGCUGAAGGAGCAUGUGGUCUGACAAGAAUAUUGUGAAGAGCAUGCUCUGAAACAUGACAACUCAUAAAAGGCUGAAAUCAUGCCUGCAUUUUUUCUUGCCUGGGGAGAGACUGAACAUUGUGUCCAUUAUUCACAUCAAAGCUGACCUCCUAACUGAUGACCAUCUCAGCUAUGAAGACAUGAUUAACAAGUUUGCUGCCAUUAAAGCCAAAUGCAAACUUUCCUGACUGGUGUCUCCCUGUCUACUGGCUGCCCGUACGUGUUUUGCUGAGGCAAGCUCCACUGCCCAGUGUCAACACAUGCCACCAAGAUCCAUCUCAGCAGCUGUAUGAGUAUUAGCUGAAUAAAAUAUGAUGAUGAUA